RNAcentral lists this ribosomal RNA (731 nucleotides) under Leuconostoc lactis. RNAcentral's name for it is "bacterial SSU rRNA". It matches the Rfam family "Bacterial small subunit ribosomal RNA", at positions 51 to 764 of the family's 1533-position model. The record is from RNAcentral. Lineage: Bacteria; Bacillati; Bacillota; Bacilli; Lactobacillales; Lactobacillaceae.
AUACAUGCAAGUCGAACGCGCAGCGAAAGGUGCUUGCACCUUUCAAGCGAGUGGCGAACGGGUGAGUAACACGUGGAUAACCUGCCUCAAGGCUGGGGAUAACAUUUGGAAACAGAUGCUAAUACCGAAUAAAACUUAGUAUCGCAUGAUACAAAGUUGAAAGGCGCUACGGCGUCACCUAGAGAUGGGUCCGCGGUGCAUUAGUUAGUUGGUGGGGUAAAGGCCUACCAAGACAAUGAUGCAUAGCCGAGUUGAGAGACUGAUCGGCCACAUUGGGACUGAGACACGGCCCAAACUCCUACGGGAGGCUGCAGUAGGGAAUCUUCCACAAUGGGCGAAAGCCUGAUGGAGCAACGCCGCGUGUGUGAUGAAGGCUUUAGGGUCGUAAAGCACUGUUGUAUGGGAAGAAAUGCUAGAAUAGGGAAUGAUUCUAGUUCGACGGUACCAUACCAGAAAGGGACGGCUAAAUACGUGCCAGCAGCCGCGGUAAUACGUAUGUCCCGAGCGUUAUCCGGAUUUAUUGGGCGUAAAGCGAGCGCAGACGGUUGAUUAAGUCUGAUGUGAAAGCCCGGAGCUCAACUCCGGAAUGGCAUUGGAAACUGGUUAACUUGAGUGUUGUAGAGGUAAGUGGAACUCCAUGUGUAGCGGUGGAAUGCGUAGAUAUAUGGAAGAACACCAGUGGCGAAGGCGGCUUACUGGACAACAACUGACGUUGAGGCUCGAAAGUGUGG